This 466-nucleotide ribosomal RNA is filed under the name uncultured bacterium. Its description in RNAcentral is "partial 16S ribosomal RNA". It matches the Rfam family "Bacterial small subunit ribosomal RNA", at positions 28 to 505 of the family's 1533-position model. The record is from RNAcentral.
GACGAACGCUGGCGGCGUGCUUAACACAUGCAAGUCGAACGGAAAGGCCCUGCUUUUGUGGGGUGCUCGAGUGGCGAACGGGUGAGUAACACGUGAGUAACCUGCCCUUGACUUUGGGAUAACUUCAGGAAACUGGGGCUAAUACCGGAUAGGAGCUCCUGCUGCAUGGUGGGGGUUGGAAAGUUUCGGCGGUUGGGGAUGGACUCGCGGCUUAUCAGCUUGUUGGUGGGGUAGUGGCUUACCAAGGCUUUGACGGGUAGCCGGCCUGAGAGGGUGACCGGCCACAGUGGGACUGAGAUACGGCCGAGACUCCUACGGGAGGCAGCAGUGGGGAAUAUUGCACAAUGGGCGGAAGCCUGAUGCAGCAACGCCGCGUGCGGGAUGACGGCCUUCGGGUUGUAAACCGCUUUCGCCUGUGACGAAGCGUGAGUGACGGUAAGGGGUAAAGAAGCACCGGAUAACUACG